RNAcentral lists this non-coding RNA (27 nucleotides) under Rattus norvegicus (Norway rat). Lineage: Eukaryota; Metazoa; Chordata; Mammalia; Rodentia; Muridae. The record is from RNAcentral.
UUACCUUUGAGUGGGGUUUCUCAGUGC